GAUGAACGCUAGCGGCAGGCCUAAUACAUCGCAAGUCGGACGGGAUUCUAGGAUUAAGCUCGCUUAAUUUUAGUCGAGAGUGGCGCACGGGUGCGUAACGCGUGAGCAACCUACCCAUAUCAGGGGGAUAGCCCGGAGAAAUCCGGAUUAACACCGCAUAACACAGCAAUCUCGCAUGAGAUCACUGUUAAAUAUUUAUAGGAUAUGGAUGGGCUCGCGUGACAUUAGCUAGUUGGUAAGGUAACGGCUUACCAAGGCUACGAUGUCUAGGGGCUCUGAGAGGAGAAUCCCCCACACUGGUACUGAGACACGGACCAGACUCCUACGGGAGGCAGCAGUAAGGAAUAUUGGUCAAUGGAGGGAACUCUGAACCAGCCAUGCCGCGUGCAGGAUGACUGCCCUAUGGGUUGUAGACUGCUUUUAUCUAGGAAUAAACCUUUCUACGUGUAGAGAGCUGAAUGUACUAGAGGAAUAAGGAUCGGCUAACUCCGUGCCAGCAGCCGCGGUAAUACGGAGGAUCCAAGCGUUAUCCGGAUUUAUUGGGUUUAAAGGGUGCGUAGGCGGCUUUAUAAGUCAGGGGUGAAAUACGGCAGCUCAACUGUCGCAGUGCCUUUGAUACUGUAGAGCUUGAAUGUGGUUGAAGAUGGCGGAAUGAGACAAGUAGCGGUGAAAUGCAUAGAUAUGUCUCAGAACUCCAAUUGCGAAGGCAGCUGUCUAAGUCAUUAUUGACGCUGAUGCACGAAAGCGUGGGGAUCGAACAGGAUUAGAUACCCUGGUAGUCCACGCCCUAAACGAUGAUAACUCGAUGUUAGCGAUAUACCGUUAGCGUCCUAGCGAAAGCGUUAAGUUAUCCACCUGGGGAGUACGCCCGCAAGGGUGAAACUCAAAGGAAUUGACGGGGGCCCGCACAAGCGGAGGAGCAUGUGGUUUAAUUCGAUGAUACGCGAGGAACCUUACCCGGGCUUGAAAGUUACUGAAGCAUCCAGAGACGGAUGCGUCCUUCGGGACAGGAAACUAGGUGCUGCAUGGCUGUCGUCAGCUCGUGCCGUGAGGUGUUGGGUUAAGUCCCGCAACGAGCGCAACCCCUAUGUUUAGUUGCCAGCAUGUUAUGGUGGGGACUCUAAACAGACUGCCAGCGUAAGCUGUGAGGAAGGUGGGGACGACGUCAAGUCAUCAUGGCCCUUACGUCCGGGGCUACACACGUGCUACAAAUGGAUGGUACAGCGGGCAGCUACACAGUAAAUGUGAUGCUAAUCUCGAAAAAGCCAAUUCACAGUUCGGAUUGAGGUCUGCAAACUCGACCUCAUGAAGUUGGAUUCGCUAGGAAUCGCGUAUCAGCAAUGACGCGGUAAAUACGUUUCCCGGGCCU
RNAcentral lists this ribosomal RNA (1369 nucleotides) under uncultured bacterium. Its description in RNAcentral is "bacterial SSU rRNA". It matches the Rfam family "Bacterial small subunit ribosomal RNA", at positions 28 to 1381 of the family's 1533-position model. The record is from RNAcentral.